Molecule: long non-coding RNA, 269 nt
Filed under: Drosophila guanche
Lineage: Eukaryota; Metazoa; Arthropoda; Insecta; Diptera; Drosophilidae
Source: RNAcentral
CGGACAGAUGGACACACAGACAUGGCUUUAUCGACUCGGCUAUUGAUGCUGAUCAAGAAUAUCCAUACUUUAUGAGGUCGGAAACGCUUCCUUUUGCGCGUUACAUACAUCCGUUAUUCUACACAAAUACAAUAUACCCUAUUUACUCUUCGAGUACCGGGUAUAAUUAUCCAAUUUAUUGCUUAGUUAAACAAGUACCAAGGAAAAUACAAUCGCAUGUUGUAGCGAUUUCAAUUAAAUUACUUUUAAACAAACAAUCAUUCAAUCAG